GCCUGACUUAGCAGCUCCCAUGUAAUUGCAGAGUUAUAAUGCUCAUUUGGAAGCAGCAGCCGCCUCUGCUCCACUCUUCGUCUUGCUCACACUCCAUGCUGCCAAAUGGAAACUAAGGUGUUCAGGGAAUGGGGCAUACUUCCACAAAUUCCAUUUUAAAAUGGAUUGAUCAAGAAGUCCUUCCUCGGGUUAACCCUUACAUGGUGUUAAGAAGAAUUUCACCAAGUGGAUCUCAUUAUUGCAGACCCAUUGAGAUUGGAAGCUUCCUUCCACAAAGGAGCAAUGCACUGUUAUGUGAAGACUGGUGGAUCUCUAGUCGGCUGCAGCUGAGAUACAGAAAGCAUGGAAUUUCUAAGUUACUAUAAGACUCUGGGGAGCCUUAGCUUACCGGGGACCCCCUGAGUGAACCAUGUGGAGCUGGGAUAGAGGCAAAAAGCAAGAGGAAUUAUAUUGUUCCAGUGCACUGGGUUCAUCCCAGACCUGAAGGAGAGGCAGUGACCACCAGCACCAUUUGGGAAUCCUGGGUAUGAAAUACUAUGUUGACUUUAAGAUUCAGAACAGUUUCCAAAGGUCAACAGGAGGGAUUUAUUGGCCUGAAAAAAAAAAUGUCCAGAGUCACCUCAUUGUUGUUGGAAACUGCAAAAUUUUCCUUCCCUUUGACUCCAACAGAGCCAUUGUUCCCAGCUCAUACCCAAGGGCUUCCUCUGACAAAGUGAACCUUUCCCUGAGCAACCCUUUGUUCUUUGUUUCCUGGUUGGUUCUCUCUAACGAUCUCAGGCUAAAUACUGCAGAGAACGCUGUAAAGAGAGCAACGGUGGAGGCAGUAGCUGACCUAAGUAAGCACGGAGGCUGUUAGUGCUUUGAUCCUCUGAUCUGGUGAGCUCUUUGAUGGAUGCAGUCCACUGUGGUGAGGGUCAAACUUUGUUUCCCAGUUGCUGCUGCAGCAGGGCUUUGCCCAGCAGCCACACAGGGGUAAGAUCCAACUGAAGCUGGAGCAGAGGAGGGAAGCCAGCAGGGAGCCAGCUUGCACAGAAGCCUUCACUGUGGGCUGGGAUGCUGUGACCCAGAAGGCCGCUAAGCAGAGCUCCCCUACAGAAGCCCAAGUGACUCCACAGGCAAGGAAAAGGCUCGGCAUCUGUGAGCUGCCUCCUGAGUUUUUCUAUCGCGCUAUAGGAACAGCUGUACCAGUCUUCAGCAGCGCUGUAAACCUGUCAUCAGCACCACAUUGUUUACAUAUGGCUACAAGGUCUUUAUGCCCAGGAUCCCUUAGCUCUACAGCGGGGGACAGAUAUUUACAUGACAGCUGUGUCAAUUGGAAGCAGCCUCUGUAAGCUUGUUUGCUUCACCAAAGCAACACUCACCGCCUACCACCCCUCCCCCACCACCCCUAAGACGCGAAUCUCUGUCUUCUCCCUUUUCUAAAUGAGCAUUGUGUUAAUAAUAGAACCGCACUGCAGAUGCUCAGAAUGGAAAUAGCUGGCAUUUCCCUAACAAGACUCAUAAUUCUGCUAGAAAUAAUGGAUUUCAAGUGAAAUAGCUCGCGUCCAAGAAGAGUGGUUAUAAUUCAUGGCCAGACAUCCAAAUGGAAUCAAAAUCCGGGAAACAUGCAAAGUGCUAAUUUUCUACAUCAUUGGAAUUUAUCAAGUCCAUACUGAUUAAUUCCAACAGUGAUUUGGUUGUUCAAUCGAUAGAGCUUUGUUUGUUUCCCAAAGACAUCUGAAUGACAUUGAUUUAAAUAUUCCAACUUCCUGCUUUUCUUAAAAAAAAAAAACUUUAAAAUUGUAAAUCAAACCCCGCUGCAUCAGUGGCUGAUGCUAACUAAAUAUUUUUAUUUUUUUUCUGUAUCAUUUGAGGCAAGACUCCUAUUUAUUUCAUCAAUGUGGUAAAUAGCAAUAUUUUGGAGAGGAACUAUUUAUUUUAAUGCAGAUCUCAACGAAGUGAGGAAAAAAUUCAUUUCUAUUGCUUUGGUGUAUUUACUACUAGUUUUCCUAAGAACAUACUUCAAUGUCAUAAUAACUAUUUACAAUUAGCAUGGUUGGAAAAUAAACCACUCCUAAAAUGCUCAGGAACAGUUCAACGCCCAUAAGAUUCUUGUUGUGGGUUGGACGUAUUUUCUAAACUUAAUGUGUUGGAAACUGGAUCACAAAUGUAGCUCCAGACUUCAGAGGAGGUGUUUAUAAAGGUCGUAAGAAACCCCCUCGUGAAUAAAUUAAUACUACACUUGCAAGAGUCCAUUUAUUUUCUUGGAUGUAGGAUUCUUAUAAAAGAAACGAUAGGACCCACCCUUGGACUUUGUGGAUCAGCAAGCCUUUCUUCCAUCUUCCUUUUGCCAUGGGGUAAUAAAGCAGAAAAGCCCGUGA
Molecule: long non-coding RNA, 2360 nt
Filed under: Mus musculus (house mouse)
Lineage: Eukaryota; Metazoa; Chordata; Mammalia; Rodentia; Muridae
Description: predicted gene, 50076
Source: RNAcentral